AGCGGCGGACGGGUGAGUAACACGUGGGUAACCUGCCUGUAAGACUGGGAUAACUCCGGGAAACCGGGGCUAAUACCGGAUGGUUGUCUGAACCGCAUGGUUCAGACAUAAAAGGUGGCUUCGGCUACCACUUACAGAUGGACCCGCGGCGCAUUAGCUAGUUGGUGAGGUAACGGCUCACCAAGGCAACGAUGCGUAGCCGACCUGAGAGGGUGAUCGGCCACACUGGGACUGAGACACGGCCCAGACUCCUACGGGAGGCAGCAGUAGGGAAUCUUCCGCAAUGGACGAAAGUCUGACGGAGCAACGCCGCGUGAGUGAUGAAGGUUUUCGGAUCGUAAAGCUCUGUUGUUAGGGAAGAACAAGUGCCGUUCAAAUAGGGCGGCACCUUGACGGUACCUAACCAGAAAGCCACGGCUAACUACGUGCCAGCAGCCGCGGUAAUACGUAGGUGGCAAGCGUUGUCCGGAAUUAUUGGGCGUAAAGGGCUCGCAGGCGGUUUCUUAAGUCUGAUGUGAAAGCCCCCGGCUCAACCGGGGAGGGUCAUUGGAAACUGGGGAACUUGAGUGCAGAAGAGGAGAGUGGAAUUCCACGUGUAGCGGUGAAAUGCGUAGAGAUGUGGAGGAACACCAGUGGCGAAGGCGACUCUCUGGUCUGUAACUGACGCUGAGGAGCGAAAGCGUGGGGAGCGAACAGGAUUAGAUACCCUGGUAGUCCACGCCGUAAACGAUGAGUGCUAAGUGUUAGGGGGUUUCCGCCCCUUAGUGCUGCAGCUAACGCAUUAAGCACUCCGCCUGGGGAGUACGGUCGCAAGACUGAAACUCAAAGGAAUUGACGGGGGCCCGCACAAGCGGUGGAGCAUGUGGUUUAAUUCGAAGCAACGCGAAGAACCUUACCAGGUCUUGACAUCCUCUGACAAUCCUAGAGAUAGGACGUCCCCUUCGGGGGCAGAGUGACAGGUGGUGCAUGGUUGUCGUCAGCUCGUGUCGUGAGAUGUUGGGUUAAGUCCCGCAACGAGCGCAACCCUUGAUCUUAGUUGCCAGCAUUCAGUUGGGCACUCUAAGGUGACUGCCGGUGACAAACCGGAGGAAGGUGGGGAUGACGUCAAAUCAUCAUGCCCCUUAUGACCUGGGCUACACACGUGCUACAAUGGACAGAACAAAGGGCAGCGAAACCGCGAGGUUAAGCCAAUCCCACAAAUCUGUUCUCAGUUCGGAUCGCAGUCUGCAACUCGACUGCGUGAAGCUGGAAUCGCUAGUAAUCGCGGAUCAGCAUGCCGCGGUGAAUAC
RNAcentral lists this ribosomal RNA (1289 nucleotides) under Bacillus sp. 43. RNAcentral describes it as "bacterial SSU rRNA". It matches the Rfam family "Bacterial small subunit ribosomal RNA", at positions 94 to 1369 of the family's 1533-position model. The record is from RNAcentral. Lineage: Bacteria; Bacillati; Bacillota; Bacilli; Caryophanales; Bacillaceae.